CGCGUAGGCGGAUCAGCAAGUCCGGGGUGAAAGCUUUCGGCUCAACCGGAAAAGGGCCUUGGAUACUGCUGAUCUGGAGGAAGGUAGGGGCGUGUGGAACUUCCGGUGGAGCGGUGAAAUGCGUAGAUAUCGGAAGGAACGCCGGUGGCGAAAGCGACACGCUGGACCUUUUCUGACGCUGAGGCGCGAAAGCCAGGGGAGCAAACGGGAUUAGAUACCCCGGUAGUCCUGGCCCUAAACGAUGGGUACUAGGUAGUGGACUGACACGGGUUCACUGCCGAAGCAAAAGUUUUAAGUACCCCGCCUGGGGAGUAUGGUCGCAAGGCUGAA
Molecule: ribosomal RNA, 330 nt
Filed under: uncultured bacterium
Lineage: Bacteria
Description: bacterial SSU rRNA
Rfam family: Bacterial small subunit ribosomal RNA
Source: RNAcentral